Molecule: ribosomal RNA, 429 nt
Filed under: Chloroflexota bacterium
Lineage: Bacteria; Bacillati; Chloroflexota
Description: Chloroflexi bacterium partial 16S ribosomal RNA
Rfam family: Bacterial small subunit ribosomal RNA
Source: RNAcentral
UGGGGAAUAUUGCACAAUGGGCGCAAGCCUGAUGCAGCCAUGCCGCGUGUAUGAAGAAGGCCUUCGGGUUGUAAAGUACUUUCAGUAGGGAGGAAGGUGUCAAGGUUAAUAACCUUGGCAAUUGACGUUACCGACAGAAGAAGCACCGGCUAACUCCGUGCCAGCAGCCGCGGUAAUACGGAGGGUGCAAGCGUUAAUCGGAAUUACUGGGCGUAAAGCGCACGCAGGCGGUUGAUUGAGUCAGAUGUGAAAUCCCCGGGCUUAACCCGGGAAUUGCAUCUGAUACUGGUCAGCUAGAGUCUUGUAGAGGGGGGUAGAAGUCCAUGUGUAGCGGUGAAAUGCGUAGAGAUGUGGGGGAAUACCGGUGGCGAAGGCGGCCCCCUGGACAAAGACUGACGCUCAGGUGCGAAAGCGUGGGGAGCAAACAGG